GAGCAGUCCCUUCAUGAAACCACAGCAGAUGUUUCUCAGUCCUUUCAUUUUCUUUUUUCAGAGGAAUUGUAAUCGGCUGCGCUUUAAUUAGGAUCUCCCCGAGGAUACUUCGGCUUUCUUCCACACCCGGGAGUUUGCAGAUUCCCUCUUAGUGCACCAGGCUGAUUAGAUUUCUUAAUUCCCUAAAAUAUGCUGUCUCGAAGCCUAAUACCCCUGUAGGGAUGAGGUCUGUUUCUCUGCCUCUCCUCCCAUUACAGUGCUAAAUCCAGGCAGUGGUCUCCCUUACGGCACUUGCUUCUUCCCUGGCUCCGGACCCCUUUUUUGGAUGGGUAAGUGGUCUCUUAAAAGCAACCUCUCUUUGCAUGAACAGCCUCACGGAAGCUGAAAAGUGCCCUCUGCACAGAUUUUUAAAGUCCUCUCCUGGGCACUAGGUUGGCACCAGUCUCCUGAGUUGGAUCUAAAUUGGGGUGGAUACCUAGCAUAAGCCUUGUUCAGGUUUAGUUGUAGCUUCUCAUUUAUUCACAGUGAAUUAUUGCAUGAAUUUUUAUUGUGCUACUGACAUGUGCCGUGGCGAUAUAAUGGCUAACAUCGUUCCUAAUUUCAUGGAAAUGACAGAGAUCAAUAAGUGAAAAGAUAAUUGAAUCCCAUGUGAUGCUGUGAAAAGUGCUUUGCACAAAGCACGACUCCUUGGCAGGUGUUUAAGUCUUUGAGGUACAGAGAAAGAUUUAUGGGAAAAGCAACGUCUAAAUUGAGACUUGAAUAGUAAGUAAGAGUUUUUGGAAGACUGAGAAUGGGAUGAGAAGGUAUGGUAGAAGAGAGGAGAGCAUUCUAGGCAAAGGGAGGACCCUAAGGUAAGAGACAGUGAGGCUUGUCCUGGGACCUGCAAAAAACUCUUUGUUGCUGGAGUGCAGUGCAAUGAGCAGGGAACUAGGGCUAGAGGGAGCGGAAUGAGGAGUGUUGAGAGAUGAAGAUGGAAAGGUAGGCAGGUGCCAGAGCAUGCAGGAACUUGUGAGUCUUGUGAAGUCAUUUGUGCUGCAUCAGGUAGAGGUGGGUACCCUCCCUUAUUUCUUUAAUAGUGUGGAGAUUAGCACCUGGCACAUCCCAGGAAUUGGGAAAGCCGCUGAGUACUCACACUGUAGUUAAGGCUGGUCCUGGCAGCAGAUGCCACUGAAACCUAAAACAUACACCAUCUCUGCUCUUUGAAGCCUGCAAACCUUCUGACAAAGAAGCAGCCUUGAAAAGACAAAAUGGAUCCAGCAGGGAAUUAGACAGAAAAUAUUUACAGACUCGGUGAACCAAGAGCUGGGUGUUCCGGGCUGUUGAAGAAAAUGGAGUAAUGGGAUAGAAGCUGCUUUCAACUUCCUGCUGAGGACCCAAGGCCAGGAAAAAAGAAAAUUUUUGGAUAUCAGAAAUCAGAACAGGCCUGGAGUUGGGGAAUAAAUUAGGAAAGACACGGACUCAAGCAAAGGAAGACAUCAGAAGUAGAGGUUGGCCAAAGGACAAAACUACAAAGCAGCAAUUGCAGAUUGAAUCAAAUCAUCAGCUACUGGACAUUACAACAUUCACCAUGGAGAGUAACAAUAAUAUGCAUUUAUCAGAACUUCACUAUGUGCCAGGCACAACAUUUUAUGGAAGAUGAACAGGUAGAUAGACAAACAGAUAUGAGUACAUAGCUAGGUAAGUUGGUAGAUAGGUAGCAGGAUUCUCUGUCUCCCUAUUCCUUCUGGUAAGAAGAUAAAAGCUAAUGACUUCAAAAGCAUAACUGUGCAUUCAAUAUUCAUAGAAAGGGUCUGUGUGUGGUAGGAAAGAGACACA
This 1815-nucleotide long non-coding RNA is filed under the name Homo sapiens (human). RNAcentral's name for it is "HSALNT0405891". Lineage: Eukaryota; Metazoa; Chordata; Mammalia; Primates; Hominidae. The record is from RNAcentral.